Molecule: ribosomal RNA, 253 nt
Filed under: uncultured bacterium
Lineage: Bacteria
Description: partial 16S ribosomal RNA
Rfam family: Bacterial small subunit ribosomal RNA
Source: RNAcentral
UACGGAGGGUGCAAGCGUUAUCCGGAUUCACUGGGUUUAAAGGGUGCGUAGGCGGGCAGGUAAGUCAGUGGUGAAAUCUCCGGGCUUAACCCGGAAACUGCCGUUGAUACUAUCUGUCUUGAAUAUCGUGGAGGUAAGCGGAAUAUGUCAUGUAGCGGUGAAAUGCUUAGAUAUGACAUAGAACACCAAUUGCGAAGGCAGCUGACUACGCGAAUAUUGACACUGAUGCACGAAAGCGUGGGGAUCAAACAGG